UAGGGAAUCUUCGGCAAUGGACGGAAGUCUGACCGAGCAACGCCGCGUGAGUGAAGAAGGUUUUCGGAUCGUAAAGCUCUGUUGUAAGAGAAGAACGAGUGCGAGAGUGGAAAGUUCACACUGUGACGGUAUCUUACCAGAAAGGGACGGCUAACUACGUGCCAGCAGCCGCGGUAAUACGUAGGUCCCGAGCGUUGUCCGGAUUUAUUGGGCGUAAAGCGAGCGCAGGCGGUUAGAUAAGUCUGAAGUUAAAGGCUGUGGCUUAACCAUAGUAGGCUUUGGAAACUGUUUAACUUGAGUGCAAGAGGGGAGAGUGGAAUUCCAUGUGUAGCGGUGAAAUGCGUAGAUAUAUGGAGGAACACCGGUGGCGAAAGCGGCUCUCUGGCUUGUAACUGACGCUGAGGCUCGAAAGCGUGGGGAGCAAACAGGAUUAGAUACCCUGGUAGUCCACGCCGUAAACGAUGAGUGCUAGGUGUUAGACCCUUUCCGGGGUUUAGUGCCGUAGCUAACGCAUUAAGCACUCCGCCUGGGGAGUACGACCGCAAGGUUG
Molecule: ribosomal RNA, 550 nt
Filed under: uncultured bacterium
Lineage: Bacteria
Description: bacterial SSU rRNA
Rfam family: Bacterial small subunit ribosomal RNA
Source: RNAcentral